Molecule: non-coding RNA, 69 nt
Organism: Anopheles atroparvus
Lineage: Eukaryota; Metazoa; Arthropoda; Insecta; Diptera; Culicidae
Source: Rfam
AGUUACUUAAGCCAACCGUACAGAAACUUUACUGCAUGAAAGAGUUUGUUCGUUUGGCUCGAGUUAUGC